AAUUAGCACGCGUUAAGGAUUGAAGUGGCAUCCUUUUGCUUUUUCUGCAAAAGAUAGAACGGAAAGCCUGUUAAAAC
RNAcentral lists this small RNA (77 nucleotides) under Polaribacter sp. SA4-12. RNAcentral's name for it is "Flavo-1 RNA". It matches the Rfam family "Flavo-1 RNA". The record is from Rfam by way of RNAcentral. Lineage: Bacteria; Pseudomonadati; Bacteroidota; Flavobacteriia; Flavobacteriales; Flavobacteriaceae.